RNAcentral lists this ribosomal RNA (440 nucleotides) under uncultured bacterium. RNAcentral's name for it is "partial 16S ribosomal RNA". It matches the Rfam family "Bacterial small subunit ribosomal RNA", at positions 338 to 795 of the family's 1533-position model. The record is from RNAcentral.
CCUACGGGUGGCUGCAGUGGGGAAUAUUGCACAAUGGGGGGGACCCUGAUGCAGCAAAGCCGCGUGGGUGAAGAAGCACUCCGGUGCGUAAAGCCCUGUCAGCAGGGGAGAAAAUGACAGUACCUGACCACGAAGCCCCAGCUAACUACGUGCCAGCAGCCGCGGUAAUCCGGAGGGGGCAAGCGUUAUCCGGGUUUACUGGGGGUAAAGGGGGCGCAGGCGGUAUGGCAAGUCAGAUGGGAAAACCCAGGGCCCAACCCUGGGACUGCAUUUGAAACUGCCAUACUGGAGUGCCGGAGAGGUAAGCGGAAUGCCUAGUGUAGCGGUGAAAUGCGUAGAUAUUAGGAGGAACACCAGUGGCGAAGGCGGCUUACUGGACGGUAACUGACGCUGAGGCUCGAAAGCGUGGGGAGCAAACAGGAUUAGAUACCCGAGUAGUC